This 253-nucleotide ribosomal RNA is filed under the name uncultured bacterium. Its description in RNAcentral is "partial 16S ribosomal RNA". It matches the Rfam family "Bacterial small subunit ribosomal RNA", at positions 524 to 776 of the family's 1533-position model. The record is from RNAcentral.
UACGUAGGGGGCAAGCGUUGUCCGGAUUUACUGGGCGUAAAGAGCGUGUAGGCGGCCAAACAGGUCCGUUGUGAAAACUGGAGGCUCAACCUCCAGACGUCGACGGAAACCGUAUGGCUAGAGUCCGGAAGGGGAGAGUGGAAUUCCUGGUGUAGCGGUGAAAUGCGCAGAUAUCAGGAAGAACACCUAUGGCGAAGGCAGCUCUCUGGGACGGUACUGACGCUGAGACGCGAAAGCGUGGGGAGCGAACAGG